This 18020-nucleotide long non-coding RNA is filed under the name Populus trichocarpa (black cottonwood). RNAcentral describes it as "long non-coding RNA (PTRI_LNC001409)". The stretch from base 6138 to 6297 matches the Rfam family "U1 spliceosomal RNA". Lineage: Eukaryota; Viridiplantae; Streptophyta; Magnoliopsida; Malpighiales; Salicaceae. The record is from RNAcentral.
GCAUUAGGUGUCUUUGCCAAUAUCUCUUCAGCCUUCUGAACAGCCCCAUUUAUGCCCCUGGCAGGAUCAGUAAGGAUCAACUCAGCUCCAAAAGCAAGGAGAACCAUUCUUCUCUCUAGACUCAUUGAUGCAGGCAUGGUAAUGAUCAGUCUGUAGCCCUUAGCAGCUGCCAUGAAUGCCAGCCCUAUGCCAGUGUUGCCACUCGUAGGCUCAAUCAGGACACUCUUCAGCAUUAAGAAAGAAAACCAUGUCAACACGCGAGUUCCUUUGUAAUGACAUUCGCGCUAUUUUGUAAGCAAUGAACAGAAAACGGAUCAGUUGACUGUCAAUGUCUGGACUAGGUCAUUACAAGGGUUGGCAACUAAUAAUUAAAUAUCCAUUAAUGUAUCAUACCUGCCAGCAGAAAAUGAUUUUCUGAUGCAACGAAGUCUUAAGCCAAGACAUGUAUUGAUCAAUUUUCAAUAGCUAUAUAUAACAUAUCACUCAAUUUCAAAGCAAAACAACCCAACUUGGACUUAAAAUUCAUGUAUCGUAUCUGUUCAAGUAGGAUUGAAUCACCAACCUCGCCCGGCUUGAUUAGACCCUUCUCCUCUGCAUCUUUGAUCAUACUAUACCCAAUCCUACAAACAAGGGAAGAAAGACAAGAAGAAGAAUUUCAAGCUGAGCAAACCAAAAUCUCAUUAAUGAUGAUGUUCUAAAGGCCCCAUUGUUACUUGUUGAGCAAAUCCAAUUCCAGCUUUGGAUUCAGAAACACAUUUGAAGUACCCGGAAACAGAAACAUAUUAAAUUUCGACAGCAAAGGAAGAUUUUCGGCCUUGGCAACCAAAUAAACCUGAUCGUAGCCAAGUUAAUAUAUAAAGCAUACCGAUCUCAACUUUCCAACAAAGAACAACAGAAAUCUAACUAAUACCUAUCUUUGACACUUGAGCAAGGUUCCAUCAUCUCCAGCUUGGCAGCAAUACGCGCCACACAACCAUCCACAACAUUGUUGAGAUACACCAAUGGUGUUUUACCGAUAAGCUAUAUUGGACCAAGUACAAAAGAAUAUAUAAGCCAGGGCUCCCAUAUCAAAGCACCUCAAGAACAAAUUCAACAAUUUUUGAAAUGGCAAUGGAGUCAACUUACUUCAGUAACAUCUUUGGCAAUUGAACCCUUCUCCUCUGCCAUUUUUUGUUCCGGUUACUGCACAAGCAUAGAACACACGGAGUGAUCAACAACAAAAAAACAAGCUAAAAAGGACAAACCUUUACAGAAAAAAUAGCAGAUACUGCAACCAUUUGAACAAUUCACCAAAACACAAUUUAGUUUAUAAGGAAAUGAUUCAGGAACUCCAAGUUUCAAUUGCGACACUCUUGCACCCACAAAAACAAACAUUAUAAACCAAAAAAAUAUAUAGCAUCAACCCAGAAAAAAAGAAUUCUCUCCUCAUGGCCCAUGGGAGUGCGACGUAAAUGAAAGUUGAUCAAAAUUUAUUUAUUUCUGUUUAAAAUUUAUUUUUUUAUUUUUGAAUGGUUUUAAUGUGUUUUUUCAAAAUUAAAACUUAGAAAAAAUUAAAAAAAUAUAUUAUUUUUAUAUAUUUUGAAAACAAAAAAGAUACAACACUCACGUGCACCGACAAACCCUUCACCAAAAUCCAUGAACUGAUGAACAACUAAACCUUGUAGAAUCCAGCAUCAACACAUAUAAUAUCAAAGAGUAAAAAUUAAGAAAAGCAAUACAUCAAACCUUGAGAUUCUUGAACUUUAAACAAUGUAAGUUUCCAAGCUAAAAUCUUUCUUUCAAGAAAAAACAGAGAAAUGAAAGAAAGUCAGAUAUUCGAUGGACUUCAAGGAGCCUUAAGAGAACUUACCAAGAAAUCCUUUUCUAUCUAUAUAUAGAGAGAACAAGGAGAGUAGGGAGCUUCUUGCAAUGAAAGAGCAAUAGUAGCUGGCUGAUAUAUACUGAUCUUUUAGCAUAUUUUUUAUACAAAUUUAUUUUAAAUUAAUUUUUGUAAGUGUAGUUGUCAAAGGUUUAGCUUCUAGUGUGAUUGUCAAAGUGAAGCUUUUGACCUGACCAAUCUUGUCUUCGUUCGUAACAGGUAAUUCCACUCGUCUUUGUUUUUGUCCUUUCCAUCUUCUUUUUUACGUCAUUAUUGAUUAUCUUAAAUAAAAAUGGGUCUUUUAAUGGUGGACUUUUCUUUGAUGGGUGCCCUUAGCAUCAUCAAUACUAAACUUGUCCUGCACGACGGAUAGACUUGGGAUUCAUCUUCGCAGAGAAAGAAUUAUAAUGAUUAUGAAUAAAAAAGAAAAAAGAGAUCGAUUAGAUGUUUUAAGAUAUUUAUUUAUUUUUUAUAUUUUGAGAUUGUCAUAGUUCAAAUUUAUUGAUUUUUUUAAAUAUGUUUGAUAUUUUAAAAAAAUUAUUAUUAAUAUUUAAAUUGAUUUAAGAGUAUCCCUUAUUGUUGGAAAAGAAAAAAUAUAAUUACCCACUGACAGCUUAUUGUUAAUUAUCAAGAAGAUGUAUCUCCUUUGAUUACAGGAUUCGCUCUAGAGUAUUUUAUAUAUAUAUAUAUAUAUAUAUAUAUAUAUAUAUAUAUAUAUAUAUAAUUGCUUUGGUGAUAGGAUCAUUAUCAUUUUAAAUUUAUUAAAAAAAUUAAAUACAUAAAAAACCAUAUAAAAUGUAUAUAUUUAAAAUAACUUGACUUUAGCUAAUGUUUAGGCCAGGAGUGUUAAUGAAUAUAGCAAGUCAUAUUUGGAUUUAUAAUUUUAUUCAGUUUAAUUUUUAAUAUUUUAUAAAUUAUAAACUCAAUUUAUCUAGAAGAAAGUUUGAAUUUGAACGAGCUAAAUAUAUCAGGCUGGAUUAAAUUUUUUAUAAAUAUUAUAAAUAUUUAUAAGUUGGAUUUAUAUUAUUAAUUUUUAUGAGUUAUACUCAAUUGGAAUACCUUGCACCCACAAAAACUAUCAUUAUAAACCAAAAAAUAUACAGCAUCAAUCUAGAAAAAAAAAAAUUCUCUCCUCAUGAUUCCUGUUUAAGAGUGCGGCUCAAAUGCAAGUUAAUCAAAAUUUAUUUUUUAUUUAAAAUUAAUUAUUUUUUGAUAUUUUGAAUUGUUCUGAUAUUUUAUUGUCAAAAAUAAAUAUUAAAAAAUAAAAAAUAUAUUAUUUUAAUAUAUUUUUAAAUAAAAAAUACUUUAAAAAACAAAAACAACAACAUUCACAAUCACUCCCCAAACCCUUCACCAAAAUCCAUGAACCGAUGAACAACUAAACCUUCUAGAAUCCAGCAUCAACACAUAUAACAUCAAAGAGUAAAAACUGAGAAAAGCUAUACAUCAAACCUUGAGAUUCUUGAACUUCAAACUAUGUAACUUCCAAGCUAAAAUCUUUCCUACAAGAAAAAACAGAGAAAUGAAAGAAAGUCAGAUAUUCGAUGGACUUAAGAGAACUUGCCAAGAAAUCCUUGAGAGAGAACAAGGAAAGUAUGAAGCUUCUUGCACGAAAGAGCAAUAGUAGCUGGCUCAUCUUUUAGCAUAUUUUUUCUACAAAUUUAUUUUAAAUUAAUUUUCCUCGUCCGGCUAUUUUCAGUAUCGUUCUUGUUUAUAUAUAUAUAUAUUGUAUGUAUUUGUGAAGUGUAGUUGUCAAAGGUUUAGCUUCUAGUGUGAUUGUCAGAGUGAAGCUUUUGACCUGACCUGUCUUGUCUUUGUUCGUAACAGGUAAUUCCACUUGUCUUCGAUUUUGCCUUUUCCUUCUCUUUUUUGACGUCAUUAUUGAUUAUCUUAAAUAAAAAUGGGUCUUUUAAUGGUGGACUUUCCUCUGAUCUGUGUCCUUAGCAUCAUGAAUACUAAACUUGUCUUGCACGACGGAUAGACUUGGGAUUCAGCCGAUCAGGUUUCAGAUUUUCAGUAACAGUGACCGAUUGGGAUUGCGAUUACUUAUGUUUUUAAAUGUUUUUUAAAAGUGUUUUUAUUUUAAAAUAUUUUAAAAUAAUCUUUUUAAUUUUUUUUUACUUUUAAUAAAAGCUUAUCAAAAUAAUUAUAAAGCAAUUAAAAAAAAUUAAUUUAAUAAAAAUAAAUAUACUUAUGAAAUCUAUUCAAACAUAGUUAUAAAUAUGAUGUAGAAUAGAUAUUUAUAAUUCAAGUCAGGUUUAAAAAAGAAAUUAAUUUAGAAUUAACACGGCCAAAACGCUAUUGGGCAAAAAUUGAAAAUUAUUUUUGUUUAAAAUUUAUUUUUUUAGGUUUUUUUUCUAGUUUUGAUGUGAUAAUAUCAAAAAUAAAUUUUAAAAAAUAAAAAAAAUAUUAUUUUAAUAUAUUUUUUAACAAAAAAAUACUUUGAAAAGUAAGAUGUACCACAAUAACAAUCACUACCUUAAUUGACAUGGUUAAAAUUAAAAAAAAUAUAUUUAAAACAAUGUUGUUAUUUAUUAUUCUAGGUUUACUUACGCAACCAAUAAAUCAAUAAACCAAAUCUUAAGUUGGGUCGGAUUUAAAUAAUUUUCUUCUCAUACAUGUUAUAUAUAUGAGAUCACAUCUAAUGACUAUCAUUAGAAGUUGAUAUGGUUUCAAUGACUAUUUUAAAGCAAAUUAAAAACUUCUGAAAUAAUUAAAUAAAACUAAAAAUUAAGUUCUGUCUCAUCCACAUCUAUAUCUAUAUGUGUGUGUGUGUGUGUUUUUGCAGACCUUGGAUUUAAAUUUUAAUAAUUAAUAUUGAUUCCCUUCAAGUAUGGCAUUAUCUCUUAAAUAGCAACUAGCAAUUAAAAACACCGUGGGCUCCGAGCCUGUUACUAUGGGCAUCCACCGAUCCCAGACUCAUCUCCGCAUAUGAAGAAUUAUAAUGAUUGUGAAUAAAAAAAGAAAAAGAAAUUGAUUUGAUGUUUAAGGAUAUUUAUUUAUUUAUUAAAUUGAUUUAAGAAUAUCCCAAUUUCUCAGAAAAUAAAAUAAAAAUUUCGUGUGGAUAUUCGCAAGUUGGACUUGUAUUACUAAUUUUUAUGAAUUAGACUUAAUUAGAACUUAUUGUUGAUGAUCAAGACGUAUCUGUUGUGGUUCUCAGGAAUCCUCUGUAGAGUGCUAUAUUAUCAUCACAGUCAGGAAUGCAUGUCACGAAGAAUUGGAUGUUGGAAACUAGCACGAUGCUUAACAGGAUUUGGAGUACACAUGAAACUGCAGAUUUUAUGGGCUAAUAAAGUGCCGUUUUAGAAAUUCAACAGACAAAUCAUCAUUUGACUGAGCUGGGAAGUAGGACAUUAGUUUGAAUUCAGCAUCAAGAAGGGAAGAGACCUUCCAUUGCUAGGUUCUCAAGCAUUUUCUGUGGAAAAGUGCUCAAGGCAUGCAUUUGAAAGAACUCUAAGAAAUGAGGGGAAAGAAACUAUAGCAUGACUCGUAUAUUCGGCUUCUAGUCCAUGGAGAAGAACAUCUUAAAAUAGAUGUUGGCAGAACAUACCAGCAAACANNNNNNNNNNNNNNNNNNNNNNNNNNNNNNNNNNNNNNNNNNNNNNNNNNNNNNNNNNNNNNNNNNNNNNNNNNNNNNNNNNNNNNNNNNNNNNNNNNNNNNNNNNNNNNNNNNNNNNNNNNNNNNNNNNNNNNNNNNNNNNNNNNNNNNNNNNNNNNNNNNNNNNNNNNNNNNNNNNNNNNNNNNNNNNNNNNNNNNNNNNNNNNNNNNUCGAUUGCCCCGUUGGAUACAUAAGUAAUUUUCUUUUUUAACUCUAUCAGCUCUUGAUGUUUGCACAACAAAUUUAAACAAGUUCCUUCCCAACAAUUGGAUUUGUAAGCAACAAGACAUUGAUGCUAAUCUGGCAAUUUGAAUCUGUAAACCAAGAUUCUACUUUGAUGCAUCCAACCUGAGAGAACCUAGCUAGGUAGAGAUGUGUAUACGCCAGCUUUAUGAUUAUUUUUCUCAUUCAAACCUCUUCUAGCUGAGACCCGUCCUAGCCUUGACUAGACUAUGUCUCAUGAGGUUUAGCCGGGUUGGUUAUGUUUCAUAUCUGGUUAAACUAAGGAUUAGCAGGCGCAUGCAUGGGUUUUAACUUUUAACAGUGUUUGAUGUGCCGCCAUGAAGAAGGUAGACGAUGACAUGAUGUGAAAUGCAUAAAGAAGAUUCCCACAUCGAGAAAACAUAAGACGUGGGGCAAGGCAUGGGAAUAUAAAUAGGAAGCUCAAAGCAACGGGAAACAUACUUACCUGGACGGGGUCGAUGGGCGAUCAGGAAGGUCCAUGGCCUAGGUCAGUGACGUCCAUUGCACUGAGGAUGGGUGCUGGCUUAAGGUCUCCCCAAGUGGGAGAUCCUACGUCAAAAUUUGUGGCAGAGGGGGCUGCGCAAGUCGCGGCCCCUGUCCAAUUCUAAUAUCAAACAUUUUGCUAUGAGUCUUUCUAAUUUGAAGCCUCAUCUGAACUUGUUCGGCGCCGGAGAUAGUAGCUGAGGCUCCGAGCAUUGAGAGUAGAUGUUGCGUUGAUCAUAGAAACAUUGGACACUUGAAGAAAUGCGAUGCCUGAGAUAUCGAUCAGGAAUAAUUAAUUAAGACCAAAAAAGAAGUCUGUCUCAUCCACCUGCAUAUAUAUCUGUGUGUUUUUUGUGAUGUGAUAAUGUCUAACAGCUUUUCUUCUUCUUUUUUGCAGACCUUGGAUUUAAAUUUUAAUAAUGGGUGUGCUUGGAUGAAAAUAAUUUUUAAAAUAAAAAAUUAUUAAAUUCAAUGAAAAUAAAGAAAUUCAAGAUCCAAAUUGCAUAUUGGCUAGUUAACUUAAUUAACUCUUUUUUUUUUUUUUAUCGAUUUUCUUAUCUCUAGUUUCACAACAUUAUGAUUAAGUUUUUAAUAACAUAAUAUACUAUCAACGGGACUUUGUUUGAUCUCACAACACUAUGAUUAAAGUUUCUUAAUCCAUCGCACAAGCCCUUUGUUAAUAUAUACAGAUACACAGAGCAGAAAAGCCUCCGCAUCAGGCUCCUAUAAGCCAUGCUCUCCACCUCAAGGCACAAAAACCAUGUUCUCCGCCUCCUUCUUCACCGAUUCGAAAAGCACGGAGGAUAGGUAACGCUCCCCAAAGCUAGGGAAGAUCGUCUGUUUACAUUAGAAAAAAUGGUAAGACGCACAGAACAAAACACCAACAAAGGCCAAGCACUAGAAGGUAUUCAGAAAGAUACGGCAUGUGCUAAACGCAAUGCUGCUAAGCUUUGCCAAAGAAUAUGGUACUUAUCAUCACUAUUACCGUGCUUGAAGAUUUUCUAUCACCUAUAAUCGUUCAAGAACAUUCAUUAUUUGAAUAGAUAAUUUCAUCAUAAAAAAUAUCAAGGGAAAUGGUUGCUAGAUUGGCAAUGAACUUUACUAUUUGGAAACAAAUUUGUUUCAUCUAAGGGAUAGCUUUGGGCAGCAGGCUCACUAGCAAGUUGCAGAUGGAUCUACUUCAAAAGGAAGAAAAUCAAACUUACAACAAUGAGUUUUCCAGCAUUUUCAGGCCUCUUUGCUAUCUCAAUGGCAGCAGCUGCAGCAGCUCCAGAUGAUAUCCCCACCUGAAAUCCAAAUGAUGCCCUCAAAAGAAUUCUUGAUUAAAGUCAAACCCAGAAAAUAUGAUCCAGUUAACAGAGUGGAGUGCUGUAGAGUUCUGGGUUCCUUCUUGCAACAAAUAUCAAAUAAUUGUAAGCUUACCAGCAAUCCUUCUUUCAAGGCAAGAAGCUUUGCAGUUUCAAUGGCUUCUUCACUUGAUAUCUGCAAAGUCAUAUAACGAUCCAGUCUCUCAGGUAGCAGCGCAGCAAGGCAAUAAAAAGGAAGAAACAAAAAACAAACGGUAUUUUCUCUUAAGGAAUAAAUCAGAGCAUGCGACAAAGAUUAGACUUGAGGAACUUGGAUUUGUAUAAGAUGGAGUAGGAAUACGUUUUGGGAAUUAUGUAAGAGAACACAGACUUACUUGAACAGUUUCAUCAAGUAAACCGACAUCCAAAACCGCAGGGAUGAAGCCAGCGCCAAUUCCCUGGAUCUUAUGUGGACCUUGGAUCCAUUCCAGAAAACAAUGAUAUGUUAGUCCAAUCAUGAAUACAUGGAAAAGGCAGCUGCUUCAAGAGGACAGAAUCAUAUGGGACAUGUCCAAUUGUGAAAAAUGUUGUGCAAGGUUUUGAAUAUUUAUCUUAAAGGAAUGCAAGACAGAUGGCUUAGAAGUUCCAACAACAAUUGGGAAAUUAUUCCAACAUAAAACAACAUAACUCCUAAUGCAUAUACUUUGCUAAUCCGACACAGUAAAAGUCCAAAAGAUUAGACCAGGAUCCUAUAUCCAUAGAAUCAGUGAGCUCUAUUAUUUGUUUUAGUCGUAUGAAAAAGGUUGCAAAACUCUAAUCACUGUUUAAUUGGACUGUAUAGUUUGUGAUCAAGUUUAUAACAUUUGAAUUGUAGGUUCUUGGAAAAGAACGAAAGCAAAUGAAUGUCCAAGAAACCAUGACUCACCAGGUUUCCCUCCAGACAACACUGCACUUUCAACUGGUUCUACACCAUAAAUCUAAACACGAAAAGGAAAGAACAAACGCCAAGAUAAGAAACAAUAAAGAAACUAGCAAUACCAAAAAAAAAAAUGACUUCCACUCCAAAUCAAGCAAUGCGGAGAAGUGAACCUUUAUAUCAGGGUUUUGUUCCUUGAGAUACUUCGCUGCACCUGUUAUUGUUCCCCCAGUCCCUAUCCCAGAAACGAAGGCAUCAACUUUCCCACCUGACCCUUUCCACAUCUCCGGUCCAGUUGUCUCAUAGUGAAUCUGACCAGGCAACAUCAGUAUGAUUGCAAUUCUCUCAAGUCAGCAAGUCAGAAAACGUGCGAAAUGAAAACAAAUGGCACCUUCGGGUUGGCAGGAUUUUCAAAUUGUUGCAGAAUAUAAGCAUUAGGUGUCUUUGCCAAUAUCUCUUCAGCCUUCUGAACAGCCCCAUUUAUGCCCCUGGCAGGAUCAGUAAGGAUCAACUCAGCUCCAAAAGCAAGGAGAACCAUUCUUCUCUCUAGACUCAUUGAUGCAGGCAUGGUAAUGAUCAGUCUGUAGCCCUUAGCAGCUGCCAUGAAUGCCAGCCCUAUGCCAGUGUUGCCACUCGUAGGCUCAAUCAGGACACUCUUCAGCAUUAAGAAAGAAAACCAUGUCAACACGCGAGUUCCUUUGUAAUGACAUUCACGCUAUUUUGUAAGCAAUGAACAGAAAACGGAUCAGUUGACUGUCAAUGUCUGGACUAGGUCAUUACAAGGGUUGGCAACUAAUAAUUAAAUAUCCAUUAAUGUAUCAUACCUGCCAGCAGAAAAUGAUUUUCUGAUGCAACGAAGUCUUAAGCCAAGACAUGUAUUGAUCAAUUUUCAAUAGCUAUAUAUAACAUAUCACUCAAUUUCAAAGCAAAACAACCCAACUUGGACUUAAAAUUCAUGUAUCGUAUCUGUUCAAGUAGGAUUGAAUCACCAACCUCGCCCGGCUUGAUUAGACCCUUCUCCUCUGCAUCUUUGAUCAUACUAUACCCAAUCCUACAAACAAGGGAAGAAAGACAAGAAGAAGAAUUUCAAGCUGAGCAAACCAAAAUCUCAUUAAUGAUGAUGUUCUAAAGGCCCCAUUGUUACUUGUUGAGCAAAUCCAAUUCCAGCUUUGGAUUCAGAAACACAUUUGAAGUACCCGGAAACAGAAACAUAUUAAAUUUCGACAGCAAAGGAAGAUUUUCGGCCUUGGCAACCAAAUAAACCUGAUCGUAGCCAAGUUAAUAUAUAAAGCAUACCGAUCUCAACUUUCCAACAAAGAACAACAGAAAUCUAACUAAUACCUAUCUUUGACACUUGAGCAAGGUUCCAUCAUCUCCAGCUUGGCAGCAAUACGCGCCACACAACCAUCCACAACAUUGUUGAGAUACACCAAUGGUGUUUUACCGAUAAGCUAUAUUGGACCAAGUACAAAAGAAUAUAUAAGCCAGGGCUCCCAUAUCAAAGCACCUCAAGAACAAAUUCAACAAUUUUGGAAAUGGCAAUGGAGUCAACUUACUUCAGUAACAUCUUUGGCAAUUGAACCCUUCUCCUCUGCCAUUUUUUGUUCCGGUUACUGCACAAGCAUAGAACACAUGGAGUGAUCAGCGAAAAAAAAAAACAAGCUAAAAAGGACACACCUUUACAGAAAAAAUAGCAGAUACUGCAACCAUUUGAAACAUUCACCAAAACACCAUUUAAUUUAUAAGGAAAUGAUUCAGGAACUNNNNNNNNNNNNNNNNNNNNNNNNNNNNNNNNNNNNNNNNNNNNNNNNNNNNNNNNNNNNNNNNNNNNNNNNNNNNNNNNNNNNNNNNNNNNNNNNNNNNAAUUGCGACACUCUUGCACGCACAAGACCAUGCAUUAUAAACCAAAAAAAUAUAUAGCAUCAACCCAGAAAAAAAAAGAAUUCUCUCCUCAUGGCCCAUGGGAGUGCGACGUAAAUGAAAGUUGAUCAAAAUUUAUUUAUUUCUGUUUAAAAUUUAUUUUUUUAUUUUUGAAUGGUUUUAAUGUGUUUUUUCAAAAUUAAAACUUGGAAAAAAUUAAAAAAUAUAUUAUUUUUAUAUAUUUUGAAAACAAAAAAGAUACAACACUCACGUGCACCGACAAACCCUUCACCAAAAUCCAUGAACUGAUGAACAACUAAACCUUCUAGAAUCCAGCAUCAACACAUAUAAUAUCAAAGAGUAAAAAUUGAGAAAAUCUUACAUCAAGCCUCGAGAUUCUUGAACUUUAAACAAUGUAAGUUUCCAAGCUAAAAUCUUUCUUUCAAGAAAAAACAGAGAAAUGAAAGAAAGUCAGAUAUUCGAUGGACUUCAAGGAGCCUUAAGAGAACUUACCAAGAAAUCCUUACCUCUCUAUAUAUAGAGAGAACAAGGAGAGUAGGGAGCUUCUUGCAAUGAAAGAGCAAUAGUAGCUGGCUGAUAUAUACUGAUCUUUUAGCAUAUUUUUUAUACAAAUUUAUUUUAAAUUAAUUUUUGUAAGUGUAGUUGUCAAAGGUUUAGCUUCUAGUGUGAUUGUCAAAGUGAAGCUUUUGACCUGACCAAUCUUGUCUUCGUUCGUAACAGGUAAUUCCACUCGUCUUUGUUUUUGUCCUUUCCUUCUUCUUUUUUACGUCAUUAUUGAUUAUCUUAAAUAAAAAUGGGUCUUUUAAUGGUGGACUUUUCUUUGAUGGGUGCCCUUAGCAUCAUCAAUACUAAACUUGUCCUGCACGACGGAUGGACUUGGGAUUCAUCUUCGCAGAGAAAGAAUUAUAAUGAUUAUGAAUAAAAAAGAAAAAAGAGAUUGAUUAGAUGUUUUAAGAUAUUUAUUUAUUUUUUAUAUUUUGAGAUUGUCAUAGUUCAAAUUUAUUGAUUUUUUUAAAUAUGUUUGAUAUUUUAAAAAAAUUAUUAUUAAUAUUUAAAUUGAUUUAAGAGUAUCCCUUAUUGUUGGAAAAGAAAAAAUAUAAUUACCCACUGACAGCUUAUUGUUAAUUAUCAAGAAGAUGUAUCUCCUUUGAUUACAGGAUUCGCUCUAGAGUAUUUUAUAUAUAUAUAUAUAUAUAUAUAUAUAUAUAUAUAUAUAUAUAUAUAUAUAAUUGCUUUGGUGAUAGGAUCAUUAUCAUUUUAAAUUUAUUAAAAAAAUUAAAUACAUAAAAAACCAUAUAAAAUGUAUAUAUUUAAAAUAACUUGACUUUAGCUAAUGUUUAGGCCAGGAGUGUUAAUGAAAUAUAGCAAGUCAUAUUUGGGAUUUAUAAUUUUUAUUCAGUUUAAUUUUUAAUAUUUUAUAAAUUAUAAACUCAAUUUAUCUAGAAGAAAGUUUGAAUUUGAACGAGCUAAAUAUAUCAGGCUGGAUUAAAUUUUUUAUAAAUAUUAUAAAUAUUUAUAAGUUGGAUUUAUAUUACUAAUUUUUAUGAGUUAUACUCAAUUGGAAUACCUUGCACCCACAAAAACUAUCAUUAUAAACCAAAAAAUAUACAGCAUCAAUCUAGAAAAAAAACAAUUCUCUCCUCAUGCUUCCUGUUUAAGAGUGCGGCUCAAAUGCAAGUUAAUCAAAAUUUAUUUUUUAUUUAAAAUUAAUUAUUUUUUGAUAUUUUGAAUUGUUUUGAUAUUUUAUUGUCAAAAAUAAAUAUUAAAAAAUAAAAAAUAUAUUAUUUUAAUAUAUUUUUAAAUAAAAAAUACUUUAAAAAACAAAAACAACAACAUUCACAAUCACUCCCCAAACCCUUCACCAAAAUCCAUGAACCGAUGAACAACUAAACCUUCUAGAAUCCAGCAUCAACACAUAUAACAUCAAAGAGUAAAACCUGAGAAAAGCUAUACAUCAAACCUUGAGAUUCUUGAACUUCAAAGUAUGUAACUUCCAAGCUAAAAUCUUUCCUACAAGAAAAAACAGAGAAAUGAAAGAAAGUCAGAUAUUCGAUGGACUUGAGAGAUCUUGCCAAGAAAUCCUUGUCUAUCUAUAUAUAGAGAGAGAACAAGGAAAGUAUGAAGCUUCUUGCACGAAAGAGCAAUAGUAGCUGGCUGAUCUUUUAGCAUAUUUUUUCUACAAAUUUAUUUUAAAUUAAUUUUCCUCGUCCGGCUAUUUUCAGUAUCGUUCUUGUUUAUAUAUAUAUAUAUUGUAUGUAUUUGUGAAGUGUAGUUGUCAAAGGUUUAGCUUCUAGUGUGAUUGUCAGAGUGAAGCUUUUGACCUGACCUGUCUUGUCUUUGUUCGUAACAGGUAAUUCCACUUGUCUUCGAUUUUGCCUUUUCCUUCUCUUUUUUGACGUCAUUAUUGAUUAUCUUAAAUAAAAAUGGGUCUUUUAAUGGUGGACUUUCCUCUGAUGUGUGUCCUUAGCAUCAUCAAUACUAAACUUGUCUUGCACGAGGAUAGACUUGGGAUUCAGCCGAUCAUGUUUCAGAUUUUCAGUAACAGUGACCGAUUUGGAUUGCGAUUAUUUAUGUUUUUAAAUGUUUUUUAAAAGUGUUUUUAUUUUAAAAUAUUUUAAAAUAAUCUUUUUAAUUUUUUUUUACUUUUAAUAAAAGCUUAUCAAAAUAAUUAUAAAGCAAUUAAAAAAAAUUAAUUUAAUAAAAAUAAAUAUACUUAUGAAAUCUAUUCAAACAUAGUUAUAAAUAUGAUGUAGAAUAGAUAUUUAUAAUUCAAGUCAGGUUUAAAAAAGAAAUUAAUUUAGAAUUAACACGGCCAAAACGCUAUUGGGCAAAAAUUGAAAAUUAUUUUUGUUUAAAAUUUAUUUUUUUAGGUUUUUUUUCUAGUUUUGAUGUGAUAAUAUCAAAAAUAAAUUUUAAAAAAUAAAAAAAAUAUUAUUUUAAUAUAUUUUUUAACAAAAAAAAUACUUUGAAAAGUAAGAUCUACCACAAUAACAACCACUACCUUAAUUGACAUGGUUAAAAUUUAAAAAAAUAUAUUUAAAACAAUGUUGUUAUUUAUUAUUCUAGGUUUACUUACGCAACCAAUAAAUCGAUAAACCAAAUCUUAAGUUGGGUCGGAUUUAAAUAAUUUUCUUCUCAUACAUGUUAUAUAUAUGAGAUCACAUCUAAUGACUAUCAUUAGAAGUUGAUAUGGUUUCAAUGACUAUUUUAAAGCAAAUUAAAAACUUCUGAAAUAAUUAAAUAAAACUAAAAAUUAAGUUCUGUCUCAUCCACAUCUAUAUGUGUGUGUGUUUUUGCAGACCUUGGAUUUAAAUUUUAAUAAUUAAUAUUGAUUCCCUUCAAGUAUGGCAUUAUCUCUUAAAUAGCAACUAGCAAUUAAAAACACCGUGGGCUCCGAGCCUGUUACUAUGGGCAUCCACCGAUCCCAGACUCAUCUCCGCAUAUGAAGAAUUAUAAUGAUUGUGAAUAAAAAAAGAAAAAGAAAUUGAUUUGAUGUUUAAGGAUAUUUAUUUAUUUAUUAAAUUGAUUUAAGAAUAUCCCAAUUUCUCAGAAAAUAAAAUAAAAAUUUCGUGUGGAUAUUCGCAAGUUGGACUUGUAUUACUAAUUUUUAUGAAUUAGACUUAAUUAGAACUUAUUGUUGAUGAUCAAGACGUAUCUGUUGUGGUUCUCAGGAAUCCUCUGUAGAGUGCUAUAUUAUCAUCACAGUCAGGAAUGCAUGUCACGAAGAAUUGGAUGUUGGAAACUAGCACGAUGCUUAACAGGAUUUGGAGUACACAUGAAACUGCAGAUUUUAUGGGCUAAUAAAGUGCCGUUUUAGAAAUUCAACAGACAAAUCAUCAUUUGACUGAGCUGGGAAGUAGGACAUUAGUUUGAAUUCAGCAUCAAGAAGGGAAGAGACCUUCCAUUGCUAGGUUCUCAAGCAUUUUCUGUGGAAAAGUGCUCAAGGCAUGCAUUUGAAAGAACUCUAAGAAAUGAGGGGAAAGAAACUAUAGCAUGACUCGUAUAUUCGGCUUCUAGUCCAUGGAGAAGAACAUCUUAAAAUAGAUGUUGGCAGAACAAACCAGCAAACAAUCUUCAAAGAAAGCACUUUAGCAGUUUUGAUAAGUUUAUGGUUUUCGUGUUUAGUGCAGAUCGGUGAAGACCGUGACGUACGAGUCAUUGAAUAAUGUGGCGAGGUUGAUAAAUGGAGUGUCAGCCAUUUUGUCGACUCUUCUACCUGGGAAGGCUAAUGUUCUUGAAGAUGUUCAUGGCUGCGAGCUUAGGCCUACUUUUCAUGGACCUCGAUUGCCCCGUUGGAUACAUAAGUAAUUUUCUUUUUUAACUCUAUCAGCUCUUGAUGUUUGCACAACAAAUUUAAACAAGUUCCUUCCCAACAAUUGGAUUUGUAAGCAACAAGACAUUGAUGCUAAUCUGGCAAUUUGAAUCUGUAAACCAAGAUUCUACUUUGAUGCAUCCAACCUGAGAGAACCUAGCUAGGUAGAGAUGUGUAUACGCCAGCUUUAUGAUUAUUUUUCUCAUUCAAACCUCUUCUAGCUGAGACCCGUCCUAGCCUUGACUAGACUAUGUCUCAUGAGGUUUAGCCGGGUUGGUUAUGUUUCAUAUCUGGUUAAACUAAGGAUUAGCAGGCGCAUGCAUGGGUUUUAACUUUUAACAGUGUUUGAUGUGCCGCCAUGAAGAAGGUAGACGAUGACAUGAUGUGAAAUGCAUAAAGAAGAUUCCCACAUCGAGAAAACAUAAGACGUGGGGCAAGGCAUGGGAAUAUAAAUAGGAAGCUCAAAGCAACGGGAAACAUACUUACCUGGACGGGGUCGAUGGGCGAUCAGGAAGGUCCAUGGCCUAGGUCAGUGACGUCCAUUGCACUGAGGAUGGGUGCUGGCUUAAGGUCUCCCCAAGUGGGAGAUCCUACGUCAAAAUUUGUGGCAGAGGGGGCUGCGCAAGUCGCGGCCCCUGUCCAAUUCUAAUAUCAAACAUUUUGCUAUGAGUCUUUCUAAUUUGAAGCCUCAUCUGAACUUGUUCGGCGCCGGAGAUAGUAGCUGAGGCUCCGAGCAUUGAGAGUAGAUGUUGCGUUGAUCAUAGAAACAUUGGACACUUGAAGAAAUGCGAUGCCUGAGAUAUCGAUCAGGAAUAAUUAAUUAAGACCAAAAAAGAAGUCUGUCUCAUCCACCUGCAUAUAUAUCUGUGUGUUUUUUGUGAUGUGAUAAUGUCUAACAGCUUUUCUUCUUCUUUUUUGCAGACCUUGGAUUUAAAUUUUAAUAAUGGGUGUGCUUGGAUGAAAAUAAUUUUUAAAAUAAAAAAUUAUUAAAUUCAAUGAAAAUAAAGAAAUUCAAGAUCCAAAUUGCAUAUUGGCUAGUUAACUUAAUUAACUCUUCUUUUUUUUUUUAUCGAUUUUCUUAUCUCUAGUUUCACAACACUAUGAUUAAGUUUUUAAUAACAUAAUAUACUAUCAACGGGACUUUGUUUGAUCUCACAACACUAUGAUUAAAGUUUCUUAAUCCAUCGCACAAGCCCUUUGUUAAUAUAUACAGAUACACAGAGCAGAAAAGCCUCCGCAUCAGGCUCCUAUAAGCCAUGCUCUCCACCUCAAGGCACAAAAACCAUGUUCUCCGCCUCCUUCUUCACCGAUUCGAAAAGCACGGAGGAUAGGUAACGCUCCCCAAAGCUAGGGAAGAUCGUCUGUUUACAUUAGAAAAAAUGGUAAGACGCACAGAACAAAACACCAACAAAGGCCAAGCACUAGAAGGUAUUCAGAAAGAUACGGCAUGUGCUAAACGCAAUGCUGCUAAGCUUUGCCAAAGAAUAUGGUACUUAUCAUCACUAUUACCGUGCUUGAAGAUUUUCUAUCACCUAUAAUCGUUCAAGAACAUUCAUUAUUUGAAUAGAUAAUUUCAUCAUAAAAAAUAUCAAGGGAAAUGGUUGCUAGAUUGGCAAUGAACUUUACUAUUUGGAAACAAAUUUGUUUCAUCUAAGGGAUAGCUUUGGGCAGCAGGCUCACUAGCAAGUUGCAGAUGGAUCUACUUCAAAAGGAAGAAAAUCAAACUUACAACAAUGAGUUUUCCAGCAUUUUCAGGCCUCUUUGCUAUCUCAAUGGCAGCAGCUGCAGCAGCUCCAGAUGAUAUCCCCACCUGAAAUCCAAAUGAUGCCCUCAAAAGAAUUCUUGAUUAAAGUCAAACCCAGAAAAUAUGAUCCAGUUAACAGAGUGGAGUGCUGUAGAGUUCUGGGUUCCUUCUUGCAACAAAUAUCAAAUAAUUGUAAGCUUACCAGCAAUCCUUCUUUCAAGGCAAGAAGCUUUGCAGUUUCAAUGGCUUCUUCACUUGAUAUCUGCAAAGUCAUUUAACGAUCCAGUCUCUCAGGUAGCAGUGCAGCAAGGCAAUCAAAAGGAAGAAAAAAAAAACAAACGGUAUUUUCUCUUAAAGAAUAAAUCAGAGCAUGCGACAAAGAUUAGACUUGAGGAACUUGGAUUUGUAUAUGAUGGAGUUUUAGGAAUACGUUUUGGGAAUUAUGUAAGAGAACACAGACUUACUUGAACAGUUUCAUCAAGUAAACCGACAUCCAAAACUCCAGGGAUGAAGCCAGCGCCAAUUCCCUGGAUCUUAUGUGGACCUUGGAUCCAUUCCAGAAAACAAUGAUAAUGUUAGUCCAAUCAUGAAUACAUGGAAAAGGCAGCUGUUUCAAGAGGACAGAAUCAUAUGGGACAUGUCCAAUUGUGGAAAAUGUUGUGCAAGGUUUUGAAUAUCCAUCUUAAAGGAAUGCAAGACAGAUGGCUUAGAAGUUCCAACAACUAUUGGGGAAUUAUUCAAACAUAAAACAACGUAACUCCUAAUGCAUAUACUUUUCUAAUCCGACAAAGUAAAAGUCGAAAGGAUUAGACCAGGAUCCUAUAUCCAUAGAAUCAGUGAGCUUUAUUAUUUGUUUUAGCGUAUGAAAACGGUUGGAUCCAUAGAAUCAAUGAGCUUUUGCAUAACUCUAAUCACUGUUUAAUUGGACUGUAUAGUUUGUGAUCAAGUUUACAACAUUUGAAUUGUAGGUUCUUGGAAAAGAACAAAAGCAAAUGAAUGUCCAAGAAACCAUGACUCACCAGGUUUCCCUCCAGACAGCACUGCACUUUCAACUGGUUCUACACCAUAAAUCUAAACACGAAAAGGAAAGAACAAACGCCAAGAUAAGAAACAAUAGAAAUAAUAAAGAAACUAUCAAUACCACAAAAAAAAAAAAAAGACUUCCACUCCAAGUCAAGCAAUGCGGAGAAGUAAACCUUUAUAUCAGGGUUUUGUUCCUUGAGAUACUUCCCUGCACCUGUUAUUGUUCCCCCAGUCCCUAUCCCAGAAACAAAGGCAUCAACUUUCCCACCUGACCCUUUCCAUAUCUCUGGUCCAGUUGUCUCGUAGUGAAUCUGACCAGGCAACAUCAGUAUGAUUGCAAUUCUCUCAAAUCAGUAAGUCAGAAAACGUGCGAAAUGAAAACAAAUGGCACCUUUGGGUUGGCAGGAUUUUCAAAUUGUUGCAGAAGAUAAGCAUUAGGUGUCUUUGCCAAUAUCUCUUCAGCCUUCUGAACAGCCCCCUUCAUGCCCCUGGCAGGAUCAGUAAGGAUCAACUCGGCUCCAAAAGCAAGGAGAACCAUUCUUCUCUCUAGACUCAUUGAAGCAGGCAUGGUAAUGAUCAGUCUGUAGCCCUUAGCAGCUGCCAUGAAUGCCAGCCCUAUGCCAGUGUUGCCACUCGUAGGCUCAAUCAGGACACUCUUCAGCAUUAAGAAAGAAA